Non-coding RNA from Schizosaccharomyces pombe (fission yeast), 728 nucleotides. Lineage: Eukaryota; Fungi; Ascomycota; Schizosaccharomycetes; Schizosaccharomycetales; Schizosaccharomycetaceae. The record is from the annotation of a GenBank genome assembly.
CCAGUCUCUUAUUAAACGCUCGCUAGAGCAUGAAGCAACCUAUGCGUCGUAGCAUUUGCUUAAAAAUUUGGGUUUUACAUGUAUGCCGUUCAUGUAUAAACCUAACAGUAUGCCGAAUACAGAGAAGUUGGAUUUUAUAGUUAACCCAAAUUUGCAUCCUGUUUAGUAACAAAUUUGUAAAAAUUGUAAUUUUAUUGACAAAAAAUUAUUUACAAGAUAUCAAAGAUAUUGAUUUGGCAUUUGUAUACGAUAGAGGUGUCAAGAAACGAAGCAAAAUGUGUAAGAUUUUGACAAACUACUCCACGAGUUAUACAACCAUUUAUUUUGAUAACUAACUUUUGGAAUGCUAGUAUUAUUUAGUUUUGGAGUCAAGAACCAAGACUUCAUAUGUUUCUCUAUUUGUAAGUUUGCAUAUGGUAUAUUAAUAUGCUUUGAUAAAAAUUAGAGAUAUUAUCCACUAUGAAAUUCGCUUCCAUUUAUUGCUAAAAAGGUCCCAAUUGUUAUUGGUUUUUUUCCAACAAAAAGCAUAAAUUGUUUGACGCUAAGGUGAUUGCUAAAAUUUGUCCAAUGGCAUGUGCAAAUUGAACACACUUGUCGACUUCUAAUCAGCAGCAAAACAGAGAAUAAUUAGCAAAAAUUGCUGUUUCUAUAAAGUCCAUUCCCUUUUCCUACUGAACUAAAACUCGUUUUUGAAUAAACUAGCGUAUUGAGCACUGUCAGCUACGCGU